ACGGUCACAUCACGUUGAAACACCCGUUCCCGUACGAUCACCGAAGUUAAGCAAUGUCGAGCAUGGUCAGUACCUAGAUGAGUAACCACUUGGGGAUACCAGGUACUGUG
Molecule: non-coding RNA, 110 nt
Organism: Acanthosepion pharaonis
Lineage: Eukaryota; Metazoa; Mollusca; Cephalopoda; Sepiida; Sepiidae
Source: the annotation of a GenBank genome assembly